Mirounga angustirostris (Northern elephant seal) is the source of this 1247-nucleotide long non-coding RNA. RefSeq lists it as uncharacterized. The transcript has 4 exons. The record is from RefSeq and is a predicted model, not a curated record. Lineage: Eukaryota; Metazoa; Chordata; Mammalia; Carnivora; Phocidae.
CAGCUGAAAUGUUGCAUCCUCCCCCUAAGGUUAAAGGCACAAGGGGUGAUUACAACCAGCAAGAAAACUGGAAAUAAUGGGAUCAGACGAUAUGGAACUAGCUUCUCUCCCCAGUGACUGGUGCCAGGUAUUUACACUGCAGCAAGACAAAGGCAGGAAAUUUCUCUUUGGAUUUUAGCACUUGUUUCUGAAACAGCAGAACCCAAGCAGCGGGACCAGUGGAGGAUGGAUGGGCGUCUGGCAUUGAUUGGUACCCAGCCUGAAUAAUACAUCAAGGGCCUGUGACUUCAUCACAAAAGCCUUGAGAGCCAGCCUUCUACAAACCAGACUCCCCAGGGACUCACCUCAGCAGGUGUCUGCAGUUGGAAAUGAAGUGGGAGGAAUAUUCCUGAACUCCAGGCUGAGAGGUGGAGAAACAGGCCCAGCUUCCCCUUGGAAAUGUCUAAUAACACAAGCCGAGCAUGAUGUCCCUGCUUCCUCAAUCAAGUGAUGGCAGAUGUCAGUGGCUGAGGCUUGGCCCAUCACGGCCAGCUACAAUGGACAGCUGACCCUGCAGCAUCUGACCACGAGCACCUGCACCUCUCUGCCCAGCCUGGUCGUGUUGGAGGCUCCUGGGACUUGCAGGGAGAGAGUAGACAAGCUCAAAUGAAGAAAGAAAGCAGAGAGAGAGAGAAGAUGCCAACUCUUCCACAAAGUCCUAUCGGGUAUUGCAGUGGCUUGAAUGGUGUCUCCUCAAAAUUCAUGUCUACCCCGAACCUAAGAAGGUGACUUUAUUUAGAAGUACAGUCCUGCAAUACCAGGUCGAUGCGCGGAGCUGACAGAAGUACGGUCCCUGCAGAUGGUUCCUAUUGGAUCAGAAUGGGACCUAAAUCCACAGACUGAGGUCCUAUAAGAAGAGGAAAGAGGCACCCAUAGACACACAGAGGAGGCCAUGUGAUGACAUGGGCAGAGACUGGAGUGAUGUGGCCACAAGUCAGGGACACCAGGAGCCACCAGAAGCUGGAAGGGGCAAGGAACGGAUUCUCCCGCAGCACGACCAACACCUUGAUUUUGGACUUCUGGGCUCCAGAAUUGUGAGAGAAUAAAUAAAGUUCUGUUGUUUCAAGCCACCCAGUUUGUGGUCAUCUGUUCUGUCACUCCUAUGGGCACUUCAGAAUGUUCCCCAGGGCCCGCCCGCACGCUUUUCCAUCAGAGGGCUGAGUGCGGCCGGGGGCAACAAGCCAGCAGUGGUUUCUGAGUGGGGGCUG